UCCCAUUAUGGGUAAUAGAAAAGAACAUGAAAAAGUCUAUACCUUUUUUUUUCUCCUGCCAUUUUCCAAAAGUUCAUCUUCAAAAGGCUUCCUGGGAGGAUUCCUUGAGGCACCAGCAGAGCAGCUUCCAGAACACAAGUCGUUAAGGAGCACAAAAAUGUAUUUCAAAUGCAAAGCAUCUGCUAUAUCAAAGGCACAACUGUAAUGCCUUCUGCAUUGAGACAUGUCUACAAUAAACAUGGUCCAACUGGAUUACCAACUGCACCAUAGACACAGUACCUGAAUUAAAUAGCAGAAGAUAAGAGACUUGAAUAUUUGUAGCCUUUGAACAUAUUCUUCUGAGAUAGGACAUUCUUUGUUCCCUAAACUUGUAUGGGAC
Molecule: long non-coding RNA, 379 nt
Filed under: Homo sapiens (human)
Lineage: Eukaryota; Metazoa; Chordata; Mammalia; Primates; Hominidae
Description: HSALNT0167957
Source: RNAcentral